RNAcentral lists this ribosomal RNA (253 nucleotides) under uncultured bacterium. Its description in RNAcentral is "partial 16S ribosomal RNA". It matches the Rfam family "Bacterial small subunit ribosomal RNA", at positions 524 to 776 of the family's 1533-position model. The record is from RNAcentral.
UACGAAGGGUGCAAACGUUGCUCGGAAUUAUUGGGCGUAAAGGGCGCGUAGGCGGUGCGGUAAGUCUGUAGUGAAAUCUCUGGGCUCAACUCAGAGUCUGCUGCAGAAACUGCCGUGCUUGAGUGUGGGAGAGGUGAGUGGAAUUCCCGGUGUAGUGGUGAAAUGCGUAGAGAUCCGGAGGAACACCAGAGGCGAAGGCGGCACCCUGGCCUAAUACUGACACUGAGACGCGAAAGCAUGGGGAGCGAACGGG